This 419-nucleotide ribosomal RNA is filed under the name uncultured bacterium. RNAcentral describes it as "bacterial SSU rRNA". It matches the Rfam family "Bacterial small subunit ribosomal RNA", at positions 29 to 440 of the family's 1533-position model. The record is from RNAcentral.
AGCGAACGCUGGCGGCGUGCUUAACACAUGCAAGUCGAACGUGAAAGUAGCAAUACGAGUAAAGUGGCGCACGGGUGAGUAACACGUAGGCAAUCUACCUUAGAAUCUGGAAUAACAGGCCGAAAGGCUUGCUAAUACUGGAUAGAUCAAAACUCUUGUAAAGGGAGAAUUGGGAAAGGGAGGCCGCAAGGUCCCUCGUUUUAAGAUGAGCCUGCGUCCCAUUAGCUAGUUGGUAGGGUAACGGCCUACCAAGGCGAUGAUGGGUAGCUGGUCUGAGAGGAUGAUCAGCCACACUGGAACUGAAACACGGUCCAGACUCCUACGGGAGGCAGCAGUGGGGAAUUUUGCGCAAUGGACGAAAGUCUGACGCAGCAACGCCGCGUGAGUGAAGAAGGCCUGGUUGUAAGACGUCUGUCGGA